AAACGUAGGAAUCGAGCGUUAUCCGAAUUUACUGGGCGUAAAGCGCUUGCAGGCGGGCUAUCAAGUUGGAUGUAAAAGCUCCUGGCUCAACUAGGAGAGGACGUACAAAACUGAUAGUCUAGAGGGCGAUAGAGGGAGGUGGAAUUCCCGGUGUAGUGGUGAAAUGCGUAGAUAUCGGGAGGAACACCAGAGGCGAAGGCGGCCUCCUGGGUCGUACCUGACGCUAAGGAGCGAAAGCUAGGGGAGCGAACGGGAUUAGAAACCCGGGUAGUCC
This 274-nucleotide ribosomal RNA is filed under the name uncultured bacterium. RNAcentral describes it as "partial 16S ribosomal RNA". It matches the Rfam family "Bacterial small subunit ribosomal RNA", at positions 523 to 796 of the family's 1533-position model. The record is from RNAcentral.